CCAUGCAUGUCUCAGUACAAGCCAAAUUAAGGUGAAACCGCGAAAGGCUCAUUAAAUCAGUUAUGGUUCCUUAGAUCGUACCCACACUUACUUGGAUAACUGUGGUAAUUCUAGAGCUAAUACAUGCAAACAGAGCUCCGACCAGAGAUGGAAGGAGUGCUUUUAUUAGAACAAAACCAAUCGGUGACGGGGGUUUACACUCACGUCAUCGUUCAAUUUGGUGACUCUGAAUAACUUUACGCUGAUCGCACGGUCAUCGCACCGGCGACGCAUCUUUCAAAUGUCUGCCUUAUCAACUUUCGAUGGUAGGUUCUGCGCCUACCAUGGUUGUAACGGGUAACGGGGAAUCAGGGUUCGAUUCCGGAGAGGGAGCCUGAGAAACGGCUACCACAUCCAAGGAAGGCAGCAGGCGCGCAAAUUACCCACUCCCGGCACGGGGAGGUAGUGACGAAAAAUAACGAUGCGGGACUCUUAUGAGGCCCCGUAAUCGGAAUGAGUACACUCUAAACCCUUUAACGAGGAUCAAUUGGAGGGCAAGUCUGGNGCCAGCAGCNGCGGUAAUUCCAGCUCCAAUAGCGUAUAUUAAAGUUGUUGCGGUUAAAAAGCUCGUAGUCGAAUUUGUGUUUCGUGCCGUCGGUUCAUCGUCCGCGGUGUUAACUGGCGAGUCACGAGACGUCCUGCCGGUGGACUGGUGCUCGCAAGGGUAUCGGUCCAAAUCAAUCCUGCCGCGGUGCUCUUCAUCGAGUGUCGAGGUGGGCCGGCACGUUUACUUUGAACAAAUUAGAGUGCUUAAAGCAGGCUAAAACUUCGCCUGAAUACUGUGUGCAUGGAAUAAUGGAAUAGGACCUCGGUUNUAUUUUGUUGGUUUUCGGAANUCCGAGGUAAUGAUUAAUAGGAACGGAUGGGGGCAUUNGUAUUGCGACGUUAGAGGUGAAAUUNUUGGAUCGUCGCAAGACGGACAGAAGCGAAAGCAUUUGCCAAAAACGCUUUCAUUGAUCAAGAACGAAAGUUAGAGGUUCGAGGCGAUCAGAUACCGCCCUAGUUCUAACCAUAAACGAUGCCAGCUAGCGAUCCGUCGACGUUCUUUUUAUGACUCGACGGGCAGCUUCCGGGAAACCAAAGCUUUUGGGUUCCGGGGGAAGUAUGGUUGCAAAGCUGAAACUUAAAGGAAUUGACGGAAGGGCACCACCAGGAGUGGAGCCUGCGGCUUAAUUUGACUCAACACGGGAAACCUCACCAGGCCCGGACACCGGAAGGAUUGACAGAUUGAGAGCUCUUUCUUGAUUCGGUGGGUGGUGGUGCAUGGCCGUUCUUAGUUGGUGGAGCGAUUUGUCUGGUUAAUUCCGAUAACGAACGAGACUCUAGCCUGCUAAAUAGGCGUAUUUUGACAUCCUAAAGGCUCGCCGUUCUCGUUGGGUGUUUCGGCACUCGAUGUGGAUGUGCGCAGUUUUUACUGUCGGCGUACAAUUAAUUCUUCUUAGAGGGACAGGCGGCUUCUAGCUGCACGAGAUUGAGCAAUAACAGGUCUGUGAUGCCCUUAGAUGUUCUGGGCCGCACGCGCGCUACACUGAAGGAAUCAGCGUGUCCUCCCUGGCCGAACGGCCCGGGUAACCCGCUGAACCUCCUUCGUGCUAGGGAUUGGGGCUUGCAAUUGUUCCCCAUGAACGAGGAAUUCCCAGUAAGCGCGAGUCAUAAGCUCGCGUUGAUUACGU
Molecule: ribosomal RNA, 1712 nt
Filed under: Cryphalus abietis
Lineage: Eukaryota; Metazoa; Arthropoda; Insecta; Coleoptera; Curculionidae
Description: SSU rRNA
Rfam family: Eukaryotic small subunit ribosomal RNA
Source: RNAcentral